This 28-nucleotide non-coding RNA is filed under the name Bombyx mori (domestic silkworm). The record is from RNAcentral. Lineage: Eukaryota; Metazoa; Arthropoda; Insecta; Lepidoptera; Bombycidae.
UGAUCUUGGCUGUGAUGAAGAUUUGUGA